GAGUUUGAUCGUGGCUCAGGAUGAACGCUGGCGGCGUGCCUAAUACAUGCAAGUCGAGCGAACAGAUAAGGAGCUUGCUCCUUUGAAGUUAGCGGCGGACGGGUGAGUAACACGUGGGUAACCUACCUAUAAGACUGGGGAUAACUUCGGGAAACCGGAGCUAGUACCGGAUAACAUUUAGAACCGCAUGGUUCUAAAGUGAAAGAUGGUUUUGCUAUCACUUAUAGAUGGACCCGCGCCGUAUUAGCUAGUUGGUAAGGUAACGGCUUACCAAGGCGACGAUACGUAGCCGACCUGAGAGGGUGAUCGGCCACACUGGAACUGAGACACGGUCCAGACUCCCACGGGAGGCAGCAGUAGGGAAUCUUCCGCAAUGGGCGAAAGCCUGACGGAGCAACGCCGCGUGAGUGAUGAAGGGUUUCGGCGUCGUAAAACUCUGUUAUUAGGGAAGAACAAAUGUGUAAGUAACUGUGCACAUCUUGACGGUACCUAAUCAGAAAGCCACGGCUAACUACGUGCCAGCCGCGCAGUAAU
This 534-nucleotide ribosomal RNA is filed under the name uncultured microorganism. RNAcentral describes it as "bacterial SSU rRNA". It matches the Rfam family "Bacterial small subunit ribosomal RNA", at positions 9 to 524 of the family's 1533-position model. The record is from RNAcentral.